GCAGUAGCCGCGGGAAUACGGAGGGUGCAAGCGUUAAUCGGAAUUACUGGGCGUAAAGCGCACGCAGGCGGUCUGACAAGUCAGAUGUGAAAUCCCCGGGCUUAACCUGGGAACUGCAUUUGAAACUGUCAGGCUGGAGUCUUGUAGAGGGGGGUGGAAUUCCAGGUGUAGCGGUGAAAUGCGUAGAGAUCUGGAGGAAUACCGGUGGCGAAGGCGGCCCCCUGGACAAAGACUGACGCUCAGGUGCGAAAGCGUGGGGAGCAAACAGGAUUAGAGACCCCUGUAGUCCCUGUCUCUUAUAC
Molecule: ribosomal RNA, 302 nt
Filed under: uncultured bacterium
Lineage: Bacteria
Description: partial 16S ribosomal RNA
Rfam family: Bacterial small subunit ribosomal RNA
Source: RNAcentral